This 251-nucleotide ribosomal RNA is filed under the name uncultured bacterium. RNAcentral's name for it is "partial 16S ribosomal RNA". It matches the Rfam family "Bacterial small subunit ribosomal RNA", at positions 526 to 776 of the family's 1533-position model. The record is from RNAcentral.
CGUAGGGUGCAAGCGUUGUCCGGAAUUAUUGGGCGUAAAGAGCUCGUAGGCGGUCUGUCGCGUCGGCUGUGAAAACCCGGGGCUCAACCCCGGGCCUGCAGUCGAUACGGGCAGACUAGAGUGCGGUAGGGGAGACUGGAAUUCCUGGUGUAGCGGUGAAAUGCGCAGAUAUCAGGAGGAACACCGGUGGCGAAGGCGGGUCUCUGGGCCGUAACUGACGCUGAGGAGCGGAAGCGUGGGGAGCGAACAGG